Molecule: ribosomal RNA, 751 nt
Filed under: Torrenticola nortoni
Lineage: Eukaryota; Metazoa; Arthropoda; Arachnida; Trombidiformes; Torrenticolidae
Description: eukaryotic LSU rRNA
Rfam family: Eukaryotic large subunit ribosomal RNA
Source: RNAcentral
GACCGAGAGUUCAAGAGUACGUGAAACCGUUUGCAAGUAAACAGAUGGACCCACGAAGUCCUGUUGAGUAAGAGAUUCAUAUACUUCAGGAGGCUUAUAGUUGUUUAGCUUCACUUUUAUCAAGUGACUAUGCAAUUAUUACUGUCAACUGAAUGAUGCAUUUCUCUUGCUCACGUUGGAGCUCUGACUACUGAUUAAAUGUUAAAUGUUAGCUUGACUAAGUGAUGUAGACCUUUGGGCUCUAAACUUACUUUAGUUGAGUGUAAAAUUUACAUUACAAUGAGUAGGUGAAUUACUUACAAUUGUAAGUGUAUUCAGAUCAUUAGUAUUGUUAAGAUGCUAAUUGUUGUUGUAUAAUGUUCUUUCAAGACUUGUGCUUGAAGACUUUAUACAUGCAGCAAUUACAAGUAUGUUAAAUGAAUGCUUUGAUGAUGAUCCAGAGUAAGUAGGUCGGUCAUCCAUCUGACCCGUCUUGAAACACGGACCAAGGAGCCCAACAUAUAUGCAAGUCGCACAGUCUUGCAUAGGCUUGUGAGGCGAAAUAAACAUAAUGGUGUGACCAUAAGCAUUAAACAUGUGAAUGAGCAACACCAACCUGUUCAUACUAUUUAUUUAGUUGAACGGCGUUUGAGCAUACAUGUUGGUACCCGAAAGAUGGUGAACUAUACUUGGGCAAGACGAAGCCAGAGGAAACUCUGGUGGAGGUCUGUAGCGAUUCUGACGUGCAAAUCGAUCGUCAGACCUGAGUAUA